UACGUAGGUGGCGAGCGUUAUUCGGAUUCACUGGGCGUAAAGGGUCCGUAGGGGGUCUGCCAAGUCUGGUGUGAAAGCCCGCGGCUCAACUGCGGAACGGCACUGGAUACUGGCGGGCUGGAGUCUGCGAGGGGUGAGCGGAAUUCCUGGUGUAGCGGUGGAAUGCGUAGAUAUCAGGAAGAACACCGACGGCGAAGGCGGCUCACUGGCGCAGUACUGACCCUGAGGGACGAAAGCGUGGGGAGCAAACAGG
RNAcentral lists this ribosomal RNA (253 nucleotides) under uncultured bacterium. RNAcentral describes it as "partial 16S ribosomal RNA". It matches the Rfam family "Bacterial small subunit ribosomal RNA", at positions 524 to 776 of the family's 1533-position model. The record is from RNAcentral.